UAGGCUGAAGUCCGCUGGCUAGGAUGUUUAGUUGUUAACUAGUUUUUUACGGGAUCGAGGCCCGUUUGUCUAUUA
RNAcentral lists this transfer RNA (75 nucleotides) under Cyrtodactylus sp. RNAcentral describes it as "tRNA-Asn". Lineage: Eukaryota; Metazoa; Chordata; Lepidosauria; Squamata; Gekkonidae. The record is from RNAcentral.